AACCGCAGCGGCUUGGAGGAUCUGAACAAAGCCCAAAUCCUAUUGGUUGGCCAGUUUUCUGUCGCAUUGACUGCUUGCCAAUGUUUGUGACAGACACGUUAACGGCCAUUCAUUCAUGAAAGUUUAUCGCACCAAACUUUCAUUCGAUGAGAACAGGCCUUGAAAACAGGAACAUGAAUAGACUCAGUGUUGAUGUCAUGUGGACCAGUAAAGGUGAAGCUGAUAAUCGCUUGUCAGUUGAGUUUCUUGACUUUGGUCCAGUUAUGAAGAAUGGAAGAAGAAGUAUAAGAUCGAUGACAGAUCGUCAGACUCGGAUGGAGAAACUGGAGGAGCAAUCAGAGGGAGGAGCUUUGGUGGUCAUAGAGGCAGAGGACAAGGAGGAGCUCAAUCGCAGCCGGCCCAGCAGCAGAGCGGCUCACGUGUGCUAUCCGAGCUGAAAAACCGCGAGCAGAUUCUCAAGCAGCGCAAACGGAAAGCCAAACAGCAGUUUCUGCAGAGUGGCGGCAUGAAGAAGCUCCAUGCCAAAGGAAGACGGCGCCUGUAGGAAGUGAUGAAAUCUGGCUUUGGUCGUGGCAGCAACAAGAAAGGAAAGAUGAGGAAGAAACUUUAAGAGCCAAAUGAGGAGUCAUUACAAACUAUCCCACCUCCCCAGCACAGGCUUUCGACUUGUGGUGCGGAAAACAGGAUGGACCACAUUUUAUGUAUAUGUACAUAUUAUAUACAAGAUGUGUGCUUGCAUGUGUCUAGAAUAUGGAUAGAAUGAGUGAAGAGACUUUAACUCUUUUACAGAAACAUUCACAUAUGUCUGACAUUCUCUUUAGUUGAUUUAAAGGGAUAUUUCGGGUUCACCUGAAACUCUAUUGACAGCAGUUGUGGAACUUGUGGCUGAAUGCCCAUUAGCACAGAAAAUAAUUUUGCCAUUUCAAAAAAAAAAUGUAUUUAAUAACUGCAAAAACCAUGACAGUUACAGUAGGCUUUCACGUCAUACGUCAUGCAUGAAGGGUUUCACAAAACCUCUUAACGUAAGAAAGCCUAAUUAAUAAGUUUAUAAUUGUGCUUAAGGGUUUUGUGGACCCAGGCCUGGGGACACGAACAAACUUAUCUCAGGAUUUAUCUUGGAAAAGUAGUUAAAAUGAAAAUGGUGUUAAAGAAUUGUGUUAUAAUAACCCCUACAAAUUCUCAUUAUAUACACACUAUAAACACUUUAAAGGAGACAGA
This 1218-nucleotide long non-coding RNA is filed under the name Sinocyclocheilus anshuiensis. RNAcentral's name for it is "lncRNA (ENSSANG00000032567.1)". The record is from RNAcentral. Lineage: Eukaryota; Metazoa; Chordata; Actinopteri; Cypriniformes; Cyprinidae.